This is a non-coding RNA of Pelobates cultripes (western spadefoot toad), 277 nucleotides long. The record is from the annotation of a GenBank genome assembly. Lineage: Eukaryota; Metazoa; Chordata; Amphibia; Anura; Pelobatidae.
ACAGCUUCCUAAUUGGAGUGCCAUAAUGGUCCAGGCAUGCCCAGAGGUGUGCGGAUGGAGGAUGACCAGUUUUUUCUUUAGGGUUUUUGGUUUUUUAUCGACGUCAUCUUCUGUUCUCUAUACGACUACUGGUUAUUUUCAUUGCGGAAUUUUGGAGUGUCCAUCAGCAACACCAAAAGAAAGAGGAGUGGCUUAGGGUCACAUGGGACUUUAUUGUAAUAGGGACACUCUGAUUGGUUCUUAUGAGGUAUUUGGUUAACCCUUUAGAAGUUAUGAU